UUCACAGUCUCGAGUUUGAAGAUGUGCACGGUCUCCGUGUUGCUGGAGGCGGAGAGGAACAUGCCGUCCAUGCUGAAGGCCAGGGAGCAGAUGCUCACGCACCUGGGGAGACGUGCAGGUCAGGGCGGGCCAAAGGAGCCAGCGGCUGCCCCAGGGGCUCAACUCAAGUGGCAGAGAAGAGUUCCUGUCACGGGCACACUUGGGCCUGCUGGUGACAAAAGGAAUCGGGAUUUCACUAAACCACUUUUAGCCGCAUUAGGAUGGAUUUCUAGUCCUAAGACCCUGCACUUGACAGAUCUGCUGGCCCCUCCCAGAUCAAUCAACUGGCUCAUCUGAUCCCGUGGCCCCUACCCAGGAACUGACUGAAUGCAAGAAGACAGCUCCAAUUCCCUGUGAUUUCAUCUCUGACCCAUCAGCACUCCUGGCUCACUGGCUUCCCCCCACCCAAGUUAUGCUUAAAAACUGCUCCCCAAAUGCUCAGAGACACUGAUCUGAGUAAUAAUAAAACUCCAGUCUCCCACACA
Sapajus apella (tufted capuchin) is the source of this 524-nucleotide long non-coding RNA. RefSeq lists it as uncharacterized. NCBI's taxonomy places the organism in Eukaryota, Metazoa, Chordata, Mammalia, Primates, Cebidae. The record is from RefSeq and is a predicted model, not a curated record. The transcript is spliced from 3 exons.